RNAcentral lists this long non-coding RNA (253 nucleotides) under Manihot esculenta (cassava). Its description in RNAcentral is "long non-coding RNA (MESC_LNC000688)". Lineage: Eukaryota; Viridiplantae; Streptophyta; Magnoliopsida; Malpighiales; Euphorbiaceae. The record is from RNAcentral.
GAUAUACUAGGUUGUUUGCAUUAGAAUUCACGAAUAUGUUGCAUUGCAUAUUUUGUUGUUGAUGUGGAUGAACGUUGGAUGAUCCAUAGCCCUCGACCUAUGAUGUGACGAUAUGAUAUGUACGGUAUGGAAUGAAAGACUAGUGGGACCCAUUCUACAUUCGCUGGCACUAUGUAAGAGAAAGACCAGGACCCAUUCUACGUUCUGGCACAUUGGAAUGUUAUGUUAUGCUAUGUAAGAGAAAGACCAUGAC